UGGGGAAUAUUGCACAAUGGGCGCAAGCCUGAUGCAGCCAUGCCGCGUGUGUGAAGAAGGCCUUCGGGUUGUAAAGCACUUUCAGCGAGGAGGAAGGUGGUGAGCUUAAUACGCUCAUCAAUUGACGUUACUCGCAGAAGAAGCACCGGCUAACUCCGUGCCAGCAGCCGCGGUAAUACGGAGGGUGCAAGCGUUAAUCGGAAUUACUGGGCGUAAAGCGCACGCAGGCGGUUUGUUAAGUCAGAUGUGAAAUCCCCGGGCUCAACCUGGGAACUGCAUUUGAAACUGGCAAGCUAGAGUCUCGUAGAGGGGGGUAGAAUUCCAGGUGUAGCGGUGAAAUGCGUAGAGAUCUGGAGGAAUACCGGUGGCGAAGGCGGCCCCCUGGACGAAGACUGACGCUCAGGUGCGAAGGCGUGGGGAGCAAACAGAUUAGAUACCCUGGUAGUCCACGCUGUAAACGAUGUCGAUUUUGGAGGUUGUGCCCUUGAGGCGUGGCUUCCGGAGCUAACGCGUUAAAUCGA
This 521-nucleotide ribosomal RNA is filed under the name uncultured bacterium. RNAcentral's name for it is "partial 16S ribosomal RNA". It matches the Rfam family "Bacterial small subunit ribosomal RNA", at positions 355 to 868 of the family's 1533-position model. The record is from RNAcentral.